RNAcentral lists this ribosomal RNA (301 nucleotides) under uncultured bacterium. RNAcentral describes it as "partial 16S ribosomal RNA". It matches the Rfam family "Bacterial small subunit ribosomal RNA", at positions 509 to 807 of the family's 1533-position model. The record is from RNAcentral.
CAGCAGCCACGGGAAUACGUAGGGUGCAAGCGUUAAUCGGAAUUACUGGGCGUAAAGCGUGCGCAGGCGGUUAUAUAAGACAGAUGUGAAAUCCCCGGGCUCAACCUGGGAACUGCAUUUGUGACUGUAUAGCUAGAGUACGGCAGAGGGGGAUGGAAUUCCGCGUGUAGCAGUGAAAUGCGUAGAUAUGCGGAGGAACACCGAUGGCGAAGGCAAUCCCCUGGGCCUGUACUGACGCUCAUGCACGAAAGCGUGGGGAGCAAACAGGAUUAGAUACCCGUGUAGUCCCUGUCUCUUAUAC